AAUCAGGAUAUUUCCUGGAAAGUAGAAGUUCCUUGAAAGGCAAGACGUAUACAUGAGUUUCACUCGCUCGGCACUUUGACAGUUCAAUUGGAGGCUCUUAAACCCUAGCCAAUUUGGGGCACAACCAGCGAUUUACCUGGUCUGCGUGAAGAGAGGUUGGAUCGUAGACCCCAGGAUUAGUCGCUGUAAGGUGGACACCUGGGUAUCCAAAAAAAAAAGUCAAUAAUUAAUUUUAAACUGCAUAUUUGACGAGAC
RNAcentral lists this long non-coding RNA (255 nucleotides) under Olea europaea subsp. europaea. The record is from RNAcentral. Lineage: Eukaryota; Viridiplantae; Streptophyta; Magnoliopsida; Lamiales; Oleaceae.